AUUUGGUAACAAGUUAAUUUAAAUUAUUGCAAUCUUUGUGUUUCUUCUAGGUUAAUACAUUUGAGAAGAAAGCACUAUAAGAUGAAUUUUAAAAAAUCUGUCCCCCUGUGUUCAUAAGCAUGUUUGUGUGAUGAUAGUGAAGGUGCAUGUGAAGACCAGGACUGAGUGCAACCUGGCUGAGUUAGGACCAAUCCUGAGAGUGGCUUUGCCUCACAGCUCCUUGCCUGUUCUGCUAAUCUGGUUGGAGAGAAAACCAACAGGAUGCCCAAGCUUUUCUCAGACCUGCCUGCAAGGCUUCGGUCCUGGCUCUCCUUGCAAUGCAGUGGAAGAGAUCAUGUCCAUGGAGGUCUAAGCAAGGUCAUCUUGCUGGACUGAGCUUUUGACAUGAGUAUUGCUCCAGUGGGAAAGCUCAGCUGAGAAUCAAUGUUCUACUUCUACAGUUCAGGCAAAUGUUGAUGCAUUGAAAAUAUUCAGAGAAGAGUUAUGAACCUUCCUAGAUGCCCUAAAAAUCAGUGGAAGACUCAGAGAUCCUGGUAAGCAUUAUUUCUUUUUGUAGUGCAAAAAUAUGC
This 569-nucleotide long non-coding RNA is filed under the name Catharus ustulatus (Swainson's thrush). Its description in RNAcentral is "lncRNA (ENSCUSG00005000140.1)". Lineage: Eukaryota; Metazoa; Chordata; Aves; Passeriformes; Turdidae. The record is from RNAcentral.